UGAGCAAUCUUUUUUGUUCCACUCCGAUGAUUCCGCCAUUGGUUGGGGUGUGACAAUUUUCUCAUCUUGAAUUUAAUCUGCCUGAAAAUCAAUUUUCUAGCCUGGAUUCCAACGAUCAGACUAAUUCCAAGGGCAUUCUGUAUCAAGACAGUGAUGACUUGCAAUAUAUACCUGGUAUAUGGGAUAGAGACUCAACAGGGUAGAUUCUAAAGUUUACAAGUUACAUAUCAUUUGUCAUGUGAUUAUCUACAUCCUAUGGUUGAGGAGGCUAUAAUUCAUUGAUGUCUACUUUUCUUUUGCGUACAAAGGCAUGCAUUUUCUGUACUUAAUCUUAGCAUUGCUAUAAAUAAAGUUUUGGUUUGUACAUAUACAAAUUUACUGCCGCAUCAGACAGAACUUUGUGUUGGUAAUGUCAUAUGGUCGCCGCCGCAGCAUCGCGUGGCGGGUCAAACCACUAGUAUGUAAAUAAAAAAGCAUCUUAUAUCAUCGGAUUUGAGGUUAACUUUGCACCCCCUUUUUAUU
This 522-nucleotide long non-coding RNA is filed under the name Helianthus annuus (common sunflower). Its description in RNAcentral is "sRNA HanXRQr2_Chr09g0391081". Lineage: Eukaryota; Viridiplantae; Streptophyta; Magnoliopsida; Asterales; Asteraceae. The record is from RNAcentral.